RNAcentral lists this ribosomal RNA (460 nucleotides) under uncultured Treponema sp. RNAcentral's name for it is "partial 16S ribosomal RNA". It matches the Rfam family "Bacterial small subunit ribosomal RNA", at positions 341 to 792 of the family's 1533-position model. The record is from RNAcentral. Lineage: Bacteria; Pseudomonadati; Spirochaetota; Spirochaetia; Treponematales; Treponemataceae.
ACGGGAGGCAGCAGCUAAGAAUAUUCCGCAAUGGACGAAAGUCUGACGGAGCGACGCCGCGUGGAUGAUGAAGGCCGGAAGGUUGUAAAAUCCUUUUAUAACUGAGGAAUAAGUAUUAUCAGAGAAAGGUAGUAUGGUGACUGUAGGUUAUGAAUAAGCAACGGCUAAUUACGUGCCAGCAGCCGCGGUAACACGUAAGUUGCGAGCGUUGUUCGGAAUUAUUGGGCGUAAAGGGCAUGUAGGCGGUUUUGCAAGCUUGGUGUGAAAUCCCGGAGCUCAACUCCUGGACUGCGUUGAGAACUGCAUGACUAGAGUCACUGAGGGGCAAUCAGAAUUCCAGGUGUAGGGGUGAAAUCUGUAGAUAUCUGGAAGAAUACCAAUGGCGAAGGCAGGUUACCAGCAGAUGACUGACGCUGAGGUGCGAAGGUGCGGGGAGCAAACAGGAUUAGAUACCCUGGUA